GACGAACGCUGGCGGCGUGCUUAACACAUGCAAGUCGAGCGGUAAGGCCCUUUGGGGUACACGAGCGGCGAACGGGUGAGUAACACGUGAGUAAUCUGCCUUUGGCUUGGGAAUAACUUCGGGAAAUCGGGGCUAAUGCCUGAUGUUUACUGUCUGCUGCAUGGUGGGUGGUGGAAAGAUUUUUUGGCCAGGGAUGAGCUCGCGGUCUAUCAGCUUGUUGGUGGGGUAAUGGCUACCAAGGCUUUGACGGGUAGCCGGCCUGAGAGGGUGUUCGGCCACACUGGGGACUGAGACACGGCCCAGGACUCCUACGGGAGGCAGCAGUGGGGAAUAUUGCGCAAUGGGCGUAAGCCUGACGCAGCGACGCCGCGUGGGGAUGAAGGCC
This 385-nucleotide ribosomal RNA is filed under the name uncultured bacterium. Its description in RNAcentral is "bacterial SSU rRNA". It matches the Rfam family "Bacterial small subunit ribosomal RNA", at positions 28 to 416 of the family's 1533-position model. The record is from RNAcentral.